RNAcentral lists this ribosomal RNA (479 nucleotides) under uncultured bacterium. Its description in RNAcentral is "partial 16S ribosomal RNA". It matches the Rfam family "Bacterial small subunit ribosomal RNA", at positions 28 to 507 of the family's 1533-position model. The record is from RNAcentral.
GACGAACGCUGGCGGCGCGCUUAACACAUGCAAGUCGAGCGAUGAAAUUUCGACAGAUCCCUUCGGGGUGAAGAUGAAAUGGAUUAGCGGCGGACGGGUGAGUAACACGUGAGUAGCCUGCCUUUGACAUUGGGAUAGCCUCGGGAAACUGGGAUUAAUACCAAAUGACACUAACUGAUCACAUGAUCAAUUAGUCAAAGAAAUUCGGUCAAAGAUGGACUCGCGGCUGAUUAGCUAGUUGGUGAGGUAACGGCCCACCAAGGCGACGAUCAGUAGCCGGCCUGAGAGGGUGAUCGGCCACAUUGGAACUGAGACACGGUCCAAACUCCUACGGGAGGCAGCAGUGGGGAAUAUUGCACAAUGGGGGAAACCCUGAUGCAGCGACGCCGCGUGAGCGAAGAAGGCCUUCGGGUCGUAAAGCUCUUUUAUGAGGGAAGAUAAUGACGGUACCUCAAGAAAAAGCCCCGGCUAACUACGUG